UCCUACGGGAGGCAGCAGUGAGGAAUAUUGGUCAAUGGCCGCAGGGCUGAACCAGCUAAGUCGCGUGAGGGAUGACGGUCCUAUGGAUUGUAAACCUCUUUUGUCAGGGAGCAAAGGGCGCCACGUGUGGCGUUUUGCGAGUACCUGAAGAAAAAGCAUCGGCUAACUCCGUGCCAGCAGCCGCGGUAAUACGGAGGAUGCGAGCGUUAUCCGGAUUUAUUGGGUUUAAAGGGUGCGCAGGCGGAAUGUCAAGUCAGCGGUAAAAUUUCGGGGCUUAACCCCGGCGUGCCGUUGAAACUGGCGUU
Molecule: ribosomal RNA, 305 nt
Filed under: uncultured bacterium
Lineage: Bacteria
Description: bacterial SSU rRNA
Rfam family: Bacterial small subunit ribosomal RNA
Source: RNAcentral